CGAACGCUGGCGGCGUGCCUAACACGAUGCAAGUCGAGCGAGGAGAUCCUUCGGGAUGAUCCUAGCGGCGGACGGGUGAGUAACACGUGGGCAACCUGCCUCAUAGAGAGGAAUAGCCUUCCGAAAGGGAGAUUAAUACCUCAUAACAUUGCAGUUUCGCAUGGAACAGCAAUUAAAGGAGUAAUCCGCUAUGAGAUGGGCCCGCGGCGCAUUAGCUAGUUGGUGAGGUAACGGCUCACCAAGGCGACGAUGCGUAGCCGACCUGAGAGGGUGAUCGGCCACAUUGGGACUGAGACACGGCCCAGACUCCUACGGGAGGCAGCAGUGGGGAAUAUUGCACAAUGGGGGAAACCCUGAUGCAAGCAACGCCGCGUGAGUGAUGACGGCCUUCGGGUUGUAAAGCUCUGUCUUCAGGGACGAUAAUGACGGUACCUGAGGAGGAAGCCACGGCUAACUACGUGCCAGCAGCCGC
RNAcentral lists this ribosomal RNA (472 nucleotides) under uncultured bacterium. RNAcentral describes it as "bacterial SSU rRNA". It matches the Rfam family "Bacterial small subunit ribosomal RNA", at positions 30 to 518 of the family's 1533-position model. The record is from RNAcentral.